This 253-nucleotide ribosomal RNA is filed under the name uncultured bacterium. Its description in RNAcentral is "partial 16S ribosomal RNA". It matches the Rfam family "Bacterial small subunit ribosomal RNA", at positions 524 to 776 of the family's 1533-position model. The record is from RNAcentral.
GACGAACCGGUGCGAACGUUAUUCGGAAUCACUGGGCUUAAAGCGCGUGUAGGCGGGCCGGCACGUCGGUCGCUGAAAUCCCCCGGCUCAACCGGGGAAGGGGCGCCGAUACGACCGGCCUGGAGGGGGUAGGGGGCGCUGGAACUCACGGUGGAGCGGUGAAAUGCGUUGAGAUCGUGAGGAACGCCCGCGGCGAAAGCGAGCGCCUGGACCCUUCUGACGCUGAGACGCGAAAGCCAGGGGAGCGAACGGG